ACAUGCAGUCGAGCGGCAGCGCGUCUAGUUUACUAGAUGGCGGCGAGCGGCGGACGGCUGAGUAACGCGUGGGAACGUGCCCCAAAGUGAGGAAUAACUGCCCGAAAGGGUAGCUAAUGCCGCAUAUGAUCUUCGGAUUAAAGUCUUCGGACGCUUUGGGAGCGGCCCGCGUCGGAUUAGGUUGUUGGUAGGGUAAUGGCCUACCAAGCCGACGAUCCGUAGCUGGUCUGAGAGGAUGAUCAGCCAGACUGGAACUGAGACACGGUCCAGACUCCUACGGGAGGCAGCAGUGAGGAAUCUUCCACAAUGGGCGAAAGCCUGAUGGAGCAACGCCGCGUGAAGGAUGAAGGCCCUCGGGUUGUAAACUUCUUUUAUGAGUGAAGAAUAUGACGGUAACUCAUGAAUAAGCACCGGCUAACUACGUGCCAGCAGCCGCGGUCAUAUGUAGGGUACAAGCAUUAUCCGGAGUGACUGGGCGUAAAGAGUUGCGUAGGCGGUUAGUAAAGCGAAUAGUGAAACCUGGUGGCUCAACCAUACAGACUAUUAUUCGAACUCACUAACUCGAGAAUGGUAGACGUAACUGGAAUUUCUAGUGUAGGAGUGAAAUCCGUAGAUAUUAGAAGGAACACCAAUGGCGUAGGCAGGUUACUGGACCAUUUCUGACGCUAAGGCACGAAAGCGUGGGGAGCGAACCGGAUUA
RNAcentral lists this ribosomal RNA (700 nucleotides) under uncultured bacterium. Its description in RNAcentral is "bacterial SSU rRNA". It matches the Rfam family "Bacterial small subunit ribosomal RNA", at positions 53 to 780 of the family's 1533-position model. The record is from RNAcentral.